GUUCUAGCUCCUUUUGUUUAGCGUGUCAGAGACUGGGAGAAGAUGAUUGGCACUCCCUGGCUCCUUUGGAUGUACAGCUGUCCAGAUCCCUAGAACAUACCCUCCAUUCUGACGAGUUAUCAGUGCAUAGGGUGCUUACUAGAUUCUUGCCAGCCAGUACAGUUCAAGCUACACACAGCACCGCUCAACUAUUCUCUACCCCAUUAUCUAGCUAAAUCUGGUCCAACUAGACAGCAGACACAGCUAGUUAAUUCAGUAAAGCCAGGGGUAGCUGUACUUCUACGGUUGUUCAGUACCCACGGUAACAAUUCCUCUGGGCCGGGCUAACUAGUUGAGCCACGCCUCCCAAUUCUCAAGGCUAGGUACAUGUCUCUGUCUAGCUGCUUCUUCAGCUUCUUGCUCAGUUUUGUGGCUUAGAGAAAGGCCAGCUACUCAGGGGGAAGAGUCCAGAUGAAAGUCUGGCAGCCAGGUGACGUCCAAACGGUCAGUUAUUCUUUCCACCAACUUUUUAAUCUAGUCUAGUCCUGCUUGCACUGCUACUACUACUGCUACUCUUCCUACUACUACUGCUGCUAAGUCAAAGGUUUCUUUUUUUUUUUUUAUAACUACAUAUGCACAAAGAGACAUCAAAGCUUACAUCAAAGGACACAGAUUUUUAGCCUACUUGACUGAUAAGGCCGUUACCUAGACUACAGUUUGUUUGUCAGGGAGGAGCUCACAUACAACUUCAUCUAAUUCAUCAUAACGAUUCGUUACCGUUGUUGUAAUUUCUACAACAGAUUGCCAAGGAAAGAGAUAUCAAGGUACUUUUUGCCACUCAAAAUGCCGGAUAUAUGUAACCACGCCCCUUUUCCAAGAGUUGUUAUGUGGUCACACCCCUUUUUGGCCGGACGUGGGCGGAUCUGCAUAACCUCUAUUGUUGCCUCGAACCCAGGCCGCAGGGAAAAGCGGCCUGGGUGUACACUGUACUGCGCAUGUGAACUAUUACCCAAAAUAAUUAUGGGUAUAUAGUGGAGAUAUCUUAUUAUAUUUUACAAUGAUGUCAUUGCACAAAUCACAGCAGUUUUAAUAAAAUAACACAGCUACUUACAACAUUUAUGGCCUAGACUAGUGACUAGUAUUGUUGUGAUGGCUUCUACUUCUGUUCUGCUCUUGCUCAAGCUAUCUUCAGUGUUGAAAAGUCAGGUUUUGUCUUCUUUUGUAGUGGUGGGCGUUUUUAUGUCAGUACCGACCGGCUCUGGCAAGUCUACUUGCUUCCAGACGCUGCCAUCUCAGUAAGAUCAGUGUUCCUUGUAUGAGCCUAGAGUUGUGAUGGCGAUUUCUCUCUUAGUUUAAUCAUAGAUAGUGUAGUAAGAGGGAUUGGAAACGGACCGCGAUUGUUGGCCAGUCCAGGCUGCGCAGGAAGUUAAUUCACUGCACUGGAAGCUAAUAAUAGUUUCUUCACAUCACCUUGGGAUAUAUAUGGGAUGGCAGCACAGAUUACAGAGCAGACAGACAGCAUAUGAGACUUGAGAAGAGCUAGAGCUAAAGAGCAGUGAUGAGCAUUGAAGGGAAACACUCUACUGAGAUCGAGAGAAUCCACUAAGCCUCUGUUUGUGAAGACGAAGGAUUCAAAAUAUUUAGUAGUGCAUGCCAGCAUCAUGUAACUGCACUGACUUUAGCAACAAAGUUGUAGCUAUGAAUGAGGGAAAUACAAUUUAAUAGCU
Molecule: long non-coding RNA, 1706 nt
Organism: Halichondria panicea
Lineage: Eukaryota; Metazoa; Porifera; Demospongiae; Suberitida; Halichondriidae
Exons: 3
Source: RefSeq, a predicted model, not a curated record